GAACAAGGUCGAAUCCUGCUUUUAUCUGAUGGCGAAGGCCCUUAGCCUUAAGGGUGUUAUUUCGAACUUAUCAAAAUAACAUCCCGUCGUGAUUCGAACGAGGUCGAAUCCGGCUUGUACUCUGAUGGCAAAGCCCUUAGCCUUAAGGGAGUUAUUUCGAAUUUAUCAAAAUAACAUCCCGUCGUGAUUUGAAUGAGGUCGGAUCCUUCUUUUAAUUUGAUGGCGAAGGCCCUUAGCCUUAAAGGUGUUAUUUCGAACUUAUCGAAAUAACAUACGCCGUGAUUCGAACUAGGUCGAAUCCUGCUUUUACUUUGGUGGCGUAGGCUUUUAGUCUUAAGGGUGUUAUUUUGAACUUAUCAAAACAACAUCCUCGUCGUGAUUCGAACGAGGUCGAAUACUGCUUUUAUUUUUAUGUCGAAGGCCCUUAGCC
Molecule: long non-coding RNA, 430 nt
Filed under: Nicotiana tabacum (common tobacco)
Lineage: Eukaryota; Viridiplantae; Streptophyta; Magnoliopsida; Solanales; Solanaceae
Description: long non-coding RNA (NTAB_LNC001974)
Source: RNAcentral